RNAcentral lists this non-coding RNA (30 nucleotides) under Rattus norvegicus (Norway rat). The record is from RNAcentral. Lineage: Eukaryota; Metazoa; Chordata; Mammalia; Rodentia; Muridae.
UGAUGAGCAUUUUAUUGAUUUUUUAUAUUU